Molecule: ribosomal RNA, 1343 nt
Filed under: uncultured bacterium
Lineage: Bacteria
Description: 16S ribosomal RNA
Rfam family: Bacterial small subunit ribosomal RNA
Source: RNAcentral
GACGAACGCUGGCGGCGUGCUUAACUCAUGCAAGUCGAACGGAAAGGCCCUGCUUUUGUGGGGUGCUCGAGUGGCGAACGGGUGAGUAACACGUGAGUAACCUGCCCUUGACUUUGGGAUAACUUCAGGAAACUGGGGCUAAUACCGGAUAGGAGCUCCUGCUGCAUGGUGGGGGUUGGAAAGUUUCGGCGGUUGGGGAUGGACUCGCGGCUUAUCAGCUUGUUGGUGGGGUAGUGGCUUACCAAGGCUUUGACGGGUAGCCGGCCUGAGAGGGCGACCGGCCACAUUGGGACUGAGAUACGGCCCAGACUCCUACGGGAGGCAGCAGUGGGGAAUAUUGCACAAUGGGCGGAAGCCUGAUGCAGCAACGCCGCGUGCGGGAUGGCGGCCUUCGGGUUGUAAACCGCUUUCGCCUGUGACGAAGCGUGAGUGACGGUAAUGGGUAAAGAAGCACCGGCUAACUACGUGCCAGCAGCCGCGGUGAUACGUAGGGUGCGAGCGUUGUCCGGAUUUAUUGGGCGUAAAGGGCUCGUAGGUGGUUGAUCGCGUCGGAAGUGUAAUCUUGGGGCUUAACCCUGAGCGUGCUUUCGAUACGGGUUGACUUGAGGAAGGUAGGGGAGAAUGGAAUUCCUGGUGGAGCGGUGGAAUGCGCAGAUAUCAGGAGGAACACCAGUGGCGAAGGCGGUUCUCUGGGCCUUUCCUGACGCUGAGGAGCGAAAGCGUGGGGAGCGAACAGGCUUAGAUACCCCGGUAGUCCACGCUGUAAACGGUGGGUACUAGGUGUGGGGUCCAUUCCACGGGUUCCGUGCCGUAGCUAACGCUUUAAGUACCCCGCCUGGGGAGUACGGCCGCAAGGCUAAAACUCAAAGGAAUUGACGGGGCCCCGCACAAGCGGCGGAGCAUGCGGAUUAAUUCGAUGCAACGCGUAGAACCUUACCUGGGUUUGACAUGGAUCGGGAGUGCUCAGAGAUGGGUGUGCCUCUUUUGGGGUCGGUUCACAGGUGGUGCAUGCCUGUCGUCAGCUCGUGUCGUGAGAUGUUGGGUUAAGUCCCGCAACGAGCGCAACCCUUGUUCACUGUUGCCAGCACGUUAUGGUGGGGACUCAGUGGAGACCGCCGGGGUCAACUCGGAGGAAGGUGGGGAUGACGUCAAGUCAUCAUGCCCCUUAUGUCCAGGGCUUCACGCAUGCUACAAUGGCUGGUACAGAGAGUGGCGAGCCUGUGAGGGUGAGCGAAUCUCGGAAAGCCGGUCUCAGUUCGGAUUGGGGUCUGCAACUCGACCUCAUGAAGUCGGAGUCGCUAGUAAUCGCAGAUCAGCAACGCUGCGGUGAAUACGUUCCCGGG